RNAcentral lists this ribosomal RNA (248 nucleotides) under uncultured bacterium. Its description in RNAcentral is "partial 16S ribosomal RNA". It matches the Rfam family "Bacterial small subunit ribosomal RNA", at positions 524 to 771 of the family's 1533-position model. The record is from RNAcentral.
UACAGAGGUCCCGAGCGUUGUUCGGAUUCACUGGGCGUAAAGGGCGCGUAGGCGGCUUUGUAAGUCGGGGGUGAAAGCCUGUGGCUCAACCACAGAAUUGCCUUCGAUACUGCAUGGCUUGAGACCGGAAGAGGUAAGUGGAACUGCGAGUGUAGAGGUGAAAUUCGUAGAUAUUCGCAAGAACACCAGUGGCGAAGGCGGCUUACUGGUCCGGUUCUGACGCUGAGGCGCGAAAGCGUGGGGAGCAA